RNAcentral lists this ribosomal RNA (253 nucleotides) under uncultured bacterium. RNAcentral describes it as "partial 16S ribosomal RNA". It matches the Rfam family "Bacterial small subunit ribosomal RNA", at positions 524 to 776 of the family's 1533-position model. The record is from RNAcentral.
UACGGGGGGAGCAAGCGUUGUUCGGAUUUACUGGGCGUAAAGGGUGCGUAGGUGGUCAGGUAAGUCUGAUGUGAAAUCUCUGGGCUCAACCCAGAAACUGCAUUGGAUACUAUCUGGCUAGAGGAGUGGAGGGGGGACUGGAAUACUUGGUGUAGCAGUGAAAUGCGUAGAUAUCAAGUGGAACACCAGUGGCGAAGGCGAGUCCCUGGACACUUCCUGACACUGAGGCACGAAAGCUAGGGGAGCAAACAGG